AGAGUUUGAUCAUGGCUCAGAUUGAACGCUGGCGGCAUGCCUUACACAUGCAAGUCGAACGGCAGCACGGGGGCAACCCUGGUGGCGAGUGGCGAACGGGUGAGUAAUACAUCGGAACGUGCCCAGUAGUGGGGGAUAGCUCGGCGAAAGCCGGAUUAAUACCGCAUACGACCUAUGGGUGAAAGCGGGGGAUCGCAAGACCUCGCGCUAUUGGAGCGGCCGAUGUCAGAUUAGGUUGUUGGUGGGGUAAAGGCCUACCAAGCCGACGAUCUGUAGCUGGUCUGAGAGGACGACCAGCCACACUGGGACUGAGACACGGCCCAGACUCCUACGGGAGGCAGCAGUGGGGAAUUUUGGACAAUGGGCGCAAGCCUGAUCCAGCCAUGCCGCGUGUGGGAAGAAGGCCUUCGGGUUGUAAACCACUUUUGUCAGGGAAGAAACGGUCUGAUCUAAUACAUUGGGCUAAUGACGGUACCUGAAGAAUAAGCACCGGCUAACUACGUGCCAGCAGCCGCGGUAAUACGUAGGGUGCAAGCGUUAAUCGGAAUUACUGGGCGUAAAGCGUGCGCAGGCGGCUUUGCAAGACAGAUGUGAAAUCCCCGGGCUCAACCUGGGAACUGCAUUUGUGACUGCAUGGCUAGAGUACGGUAGAGGGGGAUGGAAUUCCGCGUGUAGCAGUGAAAUGCGUAGAUAUGCGGAG
This 700-nucleotide ribosomal RNA is filed under the name uncultured bacterium. RNAcentral's name for it is "bacterial SSU rRNA". It matches the Rfam family "Bacterial small subunit ribosomal RNA", at positions 8 to 703 of the family's 1533-position model. The record is from RNAcentral.